Molecule: long non-coding RNA, 634 nt
Organism: Mya arenaria
Lineage: Eukaryota; Metazoa; Mollusca; Bivalvia; Myida; Myidae
Exons: 4
Source: RefSeq, a predicted model, not a curated record
AGUGGAGAUUGCCAACCUAAAUCAGGAACUCGACAACAGUGGAGAGAUGGUCUGCUCUACGGACACUCAUGUCAAGUGGGCACAGAACAAACUCAAGGCUGAACUUGAUGCUCACAAGGAUACCAAAUCUCAAUUGGACAAGAUGAGUGUGAAGUUUAAAGAAGCCAAGGAGGAAACUCAGCAGAUCCGCCGUGAUUCUCAGGGCAUCAUUAAACAGUACCAGGAAUCUAAAGAGCCUAGGCAAGGAACUCAAACAGAAUGAGUCUGAGCUGCUGGAAGACCAGGUCCUGAAGACCAACUACGAGCUGGUCACAACUGCUGACCACACUCUUCCAGAUGAAGAAAAUAAGAUGGAACACAGAAGACUUGUAGAUAGAUGUAAUUGGAUGUACCACAAUAUGACAUGUACACUGUCGGAUAGGCAUCGAGGAAUGAAAGUGCAAAAAGGUUGCAACCGAUAUUAAAUCAACCAUCUUACACUCACCCCUAAGGCUCAACUGAAUGAUUUACUGUAAACAUGUAUGGCUUCAAAUUAAGUUGAUUUAUGAUGAAGACUGAAGGUUUCAAUGUGAACUUAAUUGUUUCUGAGCAUGUUGUUGCCGUUCUUUUACUGUCUGAAUGAAAUUGUUUUCUA